GAUGAAGAACGCAGCGAAAUGCGAUAAGUAAUGUGAAUUGCAGAAUUCAGUGAAUCAUCGAAUCUUUGAACGCACAUUGCGCCCGCUAGUAUUCUGGCGGGCAUGCCUGUCCGAGCGUCAUUUCAACCCUCAAGCCCCCGGGCUUGGCGUUGGGGAUCGGCGAGCCUCCGCGCCCGCCGUCCCCUAAAUCUAGUGGCGGUCUCGCUGUAGCUUCCUCUGCGUAGUAGCACACCUCGCACUGGGAAACAGCGCGGCCACGCCGUUAAACCCCCAACUUCUGAACGUUUGACCUCGGAUCAGGUAGGAAUACCCGCUGAACUUAAGCAUAUCAAUAAGCGGAGGA
Molecule: unclassified non-coding RNA, 343 nt
Filed under: soil metagenome
Description: partial contains 5.8S ribosomal RNA, internal transcribed spacer 2, and large subunit ribosomal RNA
Rfam family: 5.8S ribosomal RNA (bases 1-120)
Source: RNAcentral